This 497-nucleotide ribosomal RNA is filed under the name uncultured bacterium. RNAcentral's name for it is "partial 16S ribosomal RNA". It matches the Rfam family "Bacterial small subunit ribosomal RNA", at positions 28 to 507 of the family's 1533-position model. The record is from RNAcentral.
GAUGAACGCUGGCGGCGUGCCUAAUACAUGCAAGUAGAACGCUGAAGGAAGGAGCUUGCUCUUUCCGGAUGAGUUGCGAACGGGUGAGUAACGCGUAGGUAACCUGCCUGGUAGCGGGGGAUAACUAUUGGAAACGAUAGCUAAUACCGCAUAACAGUAGAUGUUGCAUGAUAUCUACUUAAAAGGUGCAAUUGCACCACUACCAGAUGGACCUGCGUUGUAUUAGCUAGUUGGUGAGGUAACGGCUCACCAAGGCGACGAUACAUAGCCGACCUGAGAGGGUGAUCGGCCACACUGGGACUGAGACACGGCCCAGACUCCUACGGGAGGCAGCAGUAGGGAAUCUUCGGCAAUGGACGGAAGUCUGACCGAGCAACGCCGCGUGAGUGAAGAAGGUUUUCGGAUCGUAAAGCUCUGUUGUAAGAGAAGAACGAGUGUGAGAGUGGAAAGUUCACACUGUGACGGUACCUUACCAGAAAGGGACGGCUAACUACGUG